UUUGAGUGAAUACUCUCAAAAUUCUUAUUAAUAACUCAAUGAAUAUACAAUGAGCAAAGAGGUCUCUAUUUAUAGUUGAGCCUCACAGUAUAUCAAUAGCUAUAAUUAAAAGCUGAAUACAAUUAGAACUCUAAGCUUACAUAACCAGCUAUAUACAAAUAGAACUCUAAGAUUCCAUAAUUAUAUCUUCUAGAACACUUCCCAUUUCUAUCAGGCUCUUGAGAUGGGCUUUUAAUCUCUCAAAUCACCAGGCCAGUUUGGUUGGGCCAGUUUGGUUGGGCUAAAUGACCUCCCUCGAACACGAUGGAUCGCACCAGUUUGUCAUGGUUGCGAGCACCGACGCGCAACCCAUGAAAUUCUCCCCCCACUUGUUCUAGCGACGCCCUCGUCGCAUCCUCCUUAUGGAACUGGUCAAUCUUCCCUUGGAACUGCCACAAUGCCUCAGCAGGUUCCCAACUUGCUUCGCUAUCAGGAAGUCCCUUCCAUCGAACUAAGUACUCAUGCUGUGGUCGGUGGUACUUUCGUCUAAUUACCCGAUCUGCCUCAAUGUUUUCUACUUCACGAUCAUACGAGACUUUUACCCCCAUCGGUGCUCGUUCGGACUUGCCUCGAUUCGAAUCUUCUUGAUCCUCAUGAAACGGCUUAAGCAUGCUUACAUGGAAGACUGGGUGUACUUUAAGUUUUGGUGGCAACUCCAGCUUGUAGGCCACCUUGCCCACUCUCUUCACAACUUUAAACGGCCCUUCAUACCUUCGCACAAGACCCUUGUGCAAACCAGUAUAUCGUAAAAUCAAGUGUAGUUUAGCAAGGACUGAGUCACCCACUUGAAAUUGUACAUCCCUUCGGUUCUAAUCGGCCCACUUCUUGCUACGCUUACUUGCCUUGUGUAAACAAACUCUAGCCAAGUCAUUCUUCUCUUGCCAAUCUUUUGCGAAUCUAUAGGCUGCCGGAUUUGGUCCUGUGUAAUGGGUCACAACAGCGUUGGGUGUGAGUGGCUGUUGACCCGUCACUAUUUCAAAUGGACUUUGAUUCGUGGUCCCACUUUGCUGCAAGUUAUAUGAAAAUUGGGCCACAUCCAGCAACUUUGGCCAAUCCCUUUGUGCGGCACUCACAUAGUGCCGAAGAUACGUCUCCAACUGUGCAUUUACUCGUUCAGUUUGCCCAUCGGUUUGUGGAUGCAUGCUCGUGGAGAAGUUCAAAUCUGAGCCCAUUGACUUGAACAACUCUGUCCAGAACCGACCAGUAAAUCGACCAUCUCGAUCGCUGAUAAUAGAUAGUGGCACUCCCCAAUAUUUCACCACGUGUCUAAGGAAUAACCGAGCUGCUUCCUCAGUAGGGCACUCUUUGGUCACCAGAAUAAAAGUCGCAUACUUUGAAAACCUGUCCACCACAACAAGAAUACUAGCAAACCCGUCAGACUUAGGUAAACCAAUAAUAAAAUCCAUGGAUAAACUCUCCCAUGGCCUUUCUGGGACUGGCAGGGGUUGAAGCAAGCCGGCUGGAGUCUUUAACUCAACCUUGUCUUGUUGGCACACUAGACAAGUUUUCACAUAGGUUUCCACAUCAGCACCCAUGUGAGGCCAAUAAUAGCGAUCCUCCAAAAGGGCCAAAGUGCGAUGCAUCCCUGGAUGGCCUGCCCAUUUCGAGUCAUGACAUUCCUUCAUGACUUCCUUACGGAGUUUCCCAUAAUGGGGCACAUAGAGGCGGUGUCCAUGAGUGUAUACUAGCUCCCCAUCAAGCCAAAAUCUUCUUGUUUUUCCCUCCUUGGCAAGCUCAAUCAAAUUUUUGGCCGUAGGAUCAUGGGACAAUCCCUCUCGAAUGCGUUCCAACAAAGAGCCAUCAGGUUGACUGAUUGCUGCGAAUUCCAUCUUUCGACUAAGUGCAUCAGCAACAUUGUUGGCACUUCCUGGUUUAUAUUCCAUUGUGAAAUCAAACUCUGCUAGUAAAACCUGCCAACGAGCCUGCUUGGGAGACAACUUUUUCUGGGUUAGAAAGUAACUAUUGGCAACAUUGUCGGUAAGGACCACGAACCUAGAACCCAAUAAAUAAUGUCUCCAUGUGCGCAAGCAGUGUACUACCGCAGUCAUCUCUUUCUCUUGGACCGUAUAUCUACGUUCCGUCUCGUUAAGCUUUCGACUCUCGAAAGCAAUUGGGUGUCCAUCUUGCAUCAGUACUCCCCCAAUAGCAUAAUCUGAUGCAUCUGUACGUACCUCGUAAGGCUUCGUAAAAUCCGGCAAGACAAGUAUGGGCUCCCUCGUCAUUUCUUGCUUCAAUUGGUUGAAGGCCUUCUCACAUUCUGGAUUCCAAUCCCAUACCUUCCCCUUCUUCAACAUGUCCGUCAAGGGAGUGGUAAUUUUGGAGUAGCCUUCGACAAAGCGGCGAUAGUAAUUUGCCAAUCCAAGGAAAGAUCUCAACUCUGUUACCUUGGUUGGAGGCUCCCACUCUGAAAUGGCUCGAAUCUUAUUUUUAUCCAUUCGGAUCUUACCGCCUCCCACAAUGUGGCCUAAGAAUGACACCUCUUGUUGGGCAAAUGAGCAUUUCUCCUCCUUGACGAACAACUUAUUUUCCCUCAAAGUCUGGAACACCUCCCUCAAGUGUCUUACGUGCUCUUCAAGUGACUUGCUAUAGACCACAAUAUCGUCAAGGUAAACAACCACAAAACGAUCAAGAAAGGGUUGAAGUACCUUAUUCAUUAGGGUGCAGAAUGCAGCUGGAGCAUUCGUGAGUCCAAAAGGCAUCACAAGGAACUCAUACGAACCGUACCGUGUCACACAAGCUAUCUUUGGUUCGUCCCCCUCGACUAUCCGAACUUGAUGAUACCCCGAUCUCAAAUCUAACUUGGUAAACCAUCUUGCACUACCAAGCUGGUCGAACAAAUCUGCGAUAAGAGGAAUAGGAUACUUAUUCUUCACGGUGAUCUUGUUUAGAGCUCGAUAAUCGAUGCACAUUCUUAAGGACCCAUCGUGUUUCUUUUGGAACAACACUGGCGCACUAUAUGGGGAUUUAGAUGGUCUAAUGAAUCCCGCAUCCAAAAGUUCCUUCAAUUGUUUCCGCAACUCUUCUAAUUCUGGCGGAGACAUACGAUAGGGGGCCCUUGCUGGCGGCACCACAUUGGAUACUAACUCGAUUUUGUGGUCCACCUCCCUCUUGGGUGGCAAACUUUUUGGCAACUGAGCAGGCAUUACAUCUCGAAAUGAUUCUAGCAAUUGUCCCACAUCUUUCGGGGUCUCACUAACAAACUCAGCGGUCUCUUCGAUCUUUAAGGUGGCUAAAUAUGAGACUUCAUUUCUCCGUACACCUUUAGCAAACUGAAUUGCUGAUAGUGUUUUUCCCUCAAAGCUUCUCUUCCUUGUCACUUUCACCAUGCAUUGAUGUUUCGUAUCUGAAAUCACCAUGUAAUUGCUCGAAGGGGCAAUAAGAGCUUUAACCUGAUCAAGGAAGCUUAGUCCCACCACAAAAUCAUAGUCAUCAAGUGGUAUUACCUUAAUGGAUACCUUCCCUGACCAAUUGCCGAGCUGAAGAUCCACUCCCUUUGCAACCCCCUUGAUUGGAAUACUUUCCGAGUUCACUGUUUUGAUCCGACCCCCUUCAUUAUCUAUCUUGAGGCCUAGUUUACAAGCAGCCUCCUCGACACCCCCUAGUAUCGAUCCAAGGUUGUUAUCCUCCACAUCGGACUCCCCCUUUGCUUCCAUAGCCUUGAGAGCGGCCUUCUUUGGACAGUCCUUGAUCAUAUGUGGACCCUCACAGUGGAAGCACCUUAUAGGCCCACUCUUUCUCUUGUCCCAAGGUUUCUUACCAUCGCCGUUCCUAGUAGGCCUUUCUUUAUCUCCCCCACUAUUACCCUUUAAUCUGGGUUUAGAAGAAUUGGAAUUGUCUUUCCUCCCACCAAAUUCAGCAAGUGAUUCUGCUACUGACAUAGCCUUGGUGAGCUCUUGAACUCCUCGGCGCUGCAACUCUUGCUUCGCCCACGGUUUUAAUCCGUCCAUAAAGGAAAAGAAUGCCUCUUUCUCCCCCAUAUCUGAGAUUUGGAGCAUAAGCUCGCUAAACUCCUGUACAUACUCCCUCAUAGUGCCUUGUUGAGCAAGCCGACGCAACCUUGCCCGAGCCUCAUCCUCAGCAUACUCUGGGUAAAACUGUGCUUUGAACUCACAUCGAAACUCCUCCCAUGUUUCGAUUUCAGACCCACCACGUCUCACAUCAGUGGACCUACGACGCCACCACAACAAAGCAACGUCAGAUAAAUACAUCGCAGCAGUAGUUACCUUAGUGACAUCCUCCGUGAUGCCUUUGGCACAGAAGUAUUACUCGAUUCCCCACAAAAAGUUGUCCACAUCUCUUGCGGACCUUGUUCCCUUAAACUCUUUGGGCUUGGGAACAUCAAUAUUGGGCUUGGGUGCGGCAGCCGCUAACCCACCAUUGCCCAAGGCAACCUUGUAGAUUGUGAGUUCACCCUUGAGCUUCGCAAUCUCUCCCUUCAAGGCCACCACCAUAGCCUCAAUGGCAUCAUCUCUACCAGUCAACUGUUUCAUAUUAUCCGUCACAUACUCUUUAAGCUGCUCCUGCAUGGACUGCAGUCCAUCAUGGAGCCUAUCAUCAACAUCUUCAACCCUCUCCUUGAUAUCCCCCAUUGAACUCUCGAGAGUGACAACGCGAUCCUCUAAAGCUGACAAUAUGUCCCUUGAGCGACUGGCUUUCCUAGCCCUCCCAUGGGUCUCCAUUCCCUCAACUUCUUUUGACAUCUUUCAACGGUGGCUUCGAACCUUAGCUCUGGUACCAACUGUCACGGACUUAGAGUUUUCCCACGCGAUCCGUGCGGCCUUAGGCAGUUUCUCUGCUCAAAACGCCUAAGUCAGCCUAACUUGUAACAAAAAAAGAUUCAGCAGCAAAAACGCCCAAGUCAAAUUCACUCGCAACAAUAAAGGAUUCAAUAGAAUUCCCUUAAGAUUUUCACGAAGAACAACAGAAGAACGAAGUAAGAACGAGCCUUGAAGAUGAACAAAAGCAAGAACACUUGAGAGAAAAGUUUGAGUGAAUACUCUCAAAAUUCUUAUUAAUAACUCAAUGAAUAUACAAUGAGCAAAGAGGUCUCUAUUUAUAGUUGAGCCUCACAGUAUAUCAAUAGCUAUAAUUAAAAGCUGAAUAUAAUUAGAACUCUAAGCUUACAUAACCAGCUAUAUACAAAUAGAACUCUAAGAUUCCAUAAUUAUAUCUUCUAGAACACUUCCCAUUUCUAUCAGGCUCUUAAGAUGGGCUUUUAAUCUCUCAAAUCACCGGGCCAGUUUGGUUGGGCCAGUUUGGUUGGGCUAAAUGACCUCCCUCGAACACGAUGGAUCGCACCAGUUUGUCAUGGUUGCGAGCACCGACGCGCAACCCAUGACA
RNAcentral lists this long non-coding RNA (5379 nucleotides) under Gossypium barbadense (sea-island cotton). RNAcentral's name for it is "long non-coding RNA (GBAR_LNC012285)". Lineage: Eukaryota; Viridiplantae; Streptophyta; Magnoliopsida; Malvales; Malvaceae. The record is from RNAcentral.